GGACUCACCAGUGACCACUGAUCACUGACCAUGCGCGAAGCCGUCAAAGAUGAGGGUUUGGGCCCGUCACAGGUGACCUUGGCCAGUGUAGUGUUACACUCUCCAGAGAUAUAUAUCUGAGUUGUGAAGUUACUGGUUUUACAUGUCUGAGUGUGUUUACUGCAUUUAGGCGGUCUGAUGUGUUUUGGUUUUUAUAAGAUCUCGCUGAUUUGGUUUCAUUUCAGUUAGGUAGAAACAGUGAUAAAAUUAUUCCUAAGCAAAAUUGUACCGUCGCUCUACAUCAAGAUCGUCCUGCUUUCCGCGACCAAACAAGAUCAAGUUUCUUCUUGUGUUUCAAGUUUCAAUAAAACUGAAUUGGAGAUUGAUGUUCCCAAGUACUGUGAUAAGAAUUGAGAUAGGUGAAGUGCAGGAAACCAAGGAGGUAUCGCUUACUAAUAAUUAGCUCUUCAACGGAACCUGGUGCUUAUAUAUUGGCAUGGUACAAUAGAUAAUAAUCAAGAUUCAAUAAUGAGAGUAUAGAAGAUACCUUGCUGCACAACCAUAUUCUGGUGUAUUAUAAAAUUUAAAUUAUAAUGUGUUUCGUGACAGGAGAGUUAUUUGUACCCAUCAUUCACGUGGUUGAAUAUGCUCUUCAGUUAUUCUUUUAGUCCUGGGUUUAAACAUAGUGACAGGAAUGUAAAUGCAAUGGAUGAAAUCGUGUAUUUAACAUUGUUAAUUCAUGUGCCAUUGGCUCAUAACUAUGUUUAAUAGUUUUUA
Molecule: RNA transcript, 756 nt
Organism: Oryza sativa Japonica Group (Japanese rice)
Lineage: Eukaryota; Viridiplantae; Streptophyta; Magnoliopsida; Poales; Poaceae
Source: RefSeq, a predicted model, not a curated record